GCUGACUUUACACUAGAGACCCCAGCAACAGCAGUAAGAGCUGGACAUGUAUGGCAGGGACCAGUUGGCUGAAAGUUGGAGCAGACCCCUCCAAGCUACUCUCACAAACACCCAGGUAUUAAGAUAAGCACACUCUGGAAACAAAGCUUGAAGAGAUAACUGGAAGCCCUGAAAGAAGGACAAUGCUAUUCCCUGUGGGGAAGCAAAGACAGCCACAUAAUGAAGCUGCCUGCUUGGAUGCUGCUCUGGUCUCUUGAGGAUAGGUUCAAGCAGCUCACUUUGCACAGAGGAACAGUCUCAGGGGCAAAGGAGAAUAUGCUGGGUUAGACUGCAGAACAUCAGAGCCUGGAGAAAGAUCUGAACCCACCUGCUAACAGGGCCAGAAACAACAGCCAGGAGGAAGGCCUCCCUGCAGACCUCCAAGUCACUUUAAAGUUGUGCCCUGCUGCAACUCUUGAUCA
Pezoporus occidentalis (night parrot) is the source of this 461-nucleotide long non-coding RNA. RefSeq lists it as uncharacterized. The transcript is spliced from 3 exons. NCBI's taxonomy places the organism in Eukaryota, Metazoa, Chordata, Aves, Psittaciformes, Psittacidae. The record is from RefSeq and is a predicted model, not a curated record.